AUGCUCGCUUCGGCAGCACGUAUACUAAAAUUGGAACGACACGGAGAAGGUUAGCAUGGCCUCUGCACAAGGAUGACACACAAAUUCGUGAAGCGUUCCAUAUUUUA
RNAcentral lists this small nuclear RNA (107 nucleotides) under Saimiri boliviensis boliviensis (Bolivian squirrel monkey). Lineage: Eukaryota; Metazoa; Chordata; Mammalia; Primates; Cebidae. The record is from RNAcentral.